UGAAACUGCGUACAGCUCAUUAUAUCAGUUAUUAUUUAUUUGAUGGUACCUUACUACAUGGAUACCCGUAGUAAUUCUAGAGCUAAUACAUGCGUAAAGUCCCGACUUUUUGGAAGGGAUGUAUUUAUUAGAUAAAAAACCAAUGCAGGCAACUGCUCUCUUGGUGAUUCAUAGUAACUUUAACGGAUCGCACGGCUUCACGUCGGCGACAGUUCAUUCAAAUUUCUGCCCUAUCAGCUUUCGACGGUACUGUAGUGGACUACCGUGGCAUCAACGGGUGACGGAGAAUUAGGGUUCGAUUCCGGAGAGGGAGCCUGAGAAACGGCUACCACAUCCAAAGAAGGCAGCAGGCGCGCAAAUUACCCAAUCCUGACACAGGGAGGUAGUGACAAAAAAUAACA
This 401-nucleotide ribosomal RNA is filed under the name uncultured eukaryote. RNAcentral's name for it is "SSU rRNA". It matches the Rfam family "Eukaryotic small subunit ribosomal RNA", at positions 82 to 482 of the family's 1831-position model. The record is from RNAcentral.